Molecule: transfer RNA, 83 nt
Filed under: Caudoviricetes sp.
Lineage: Duplodnaviria; Heunggongvirae; Uroviricota; Caudoviricetes
Description: tRNA-Leu
Rfam family: tRNA
About the family: Transfer RNA (tRNA) molecules are approximately 80 nucleotides in length. Their secondary structure includes four short double-helical elements and three loops (D, anti-codon, and T loops). Further hydrogen bonds mediate the characteristic L-shaped molecular structure. tRNAs have two regions of fundamental functional importance: the anti-codon, which is responsible for specific mRNA codon recognition, and the 3' end, to which the tRNAs corresponding amino acid is attached (by aminoacyl-tRNA synthetases). tRNAs cope with the degeneracy of the genetic code in two manners: having more than one tRNA (with a specific anti-codon) for a particular amino acid; and 'wobble' base-pairing, i.e. permitting non-standard base-pairing at the 3rd anti-codon position.
Source: RNAcentral
GCCCAUGUGGUGGAAUUGGGAUACACUCUGGACUUAAAAUCCAGCGCCGUUCAGGAUUACGAGUUCGAAUCUCGUCAUGGGCA